This is a non-coding RNA of Salarias fasciatus (jewelled blenny), 436 nucleotides long. NCBI's taxonomy places the organism in Eukaryota, Metazoa, Chordata, Actinopteri, Blenniiformes, Blenniidae. The record is from the annotation of a RefSeq genome assembly.
UCUUCAUGUCUCUGGGACUUUAUAAAGCCCUCCAGCAGCAGCUGUCCUGUGCAACAUGGACAUCUUCAUCAUCAUCAUCAAACAAUGUUUCCUGAGUUUAUUAGCAGUGUUAAUGUGGAGUCCAGGUUUUACUGGUGGAAGUGAUGUGAACCAGACCUCCAUACUGUGGAAAAAGCAGGGCAACAAUGCCACCAUGGACUGCAGACACACCAAGGGAAGCAGCUAUUACCAGAUGUACUGGUUCAGACAGCUGCCAGGAGAAAACAUGGAACGCAUCGUGUUCACAACAACAGGCAGCAAAGAUCACGACUUCGGACCGUUCAGCACGGAUAAAUUUGCAGCCACCAAGACGGUAGCUGAGAGCGGAACGUUCACGGUGAAGAACGUGCAGCCAGGAGAUCAAGGCUUGUAUUUCUGUGCUGUGAGUGCACAGUGA